AUUGACUUGUAAUUUUAUUUUAUGAUCAAAUAUAGCCGGCUUCCAUUGGGCAUGCGCGUCACUGACUCGCUCCUAUAUUAAACUGAUUUUUGUUCAGAAAAAGUGGUAAAGAAGCUUGCUUCAACCACUUUGAAGAUCUUCUCAGUAUUGCAUUACUUCUGAGUUAGGUCUAACCCCA
This 178-nucleotide small nuclear RNA is filed under the name Hofstenia miamia. RNAcentral describes it as "U2 spliceosomal RNA". It matches the Rfam family "U2 spliceosomal RNA". From Rfam's summary of the family: U2 is a small nuclear RNA (snRNA) component of the spliceosome (involved in pre-mRNA splicing). Complementary binding between U2 snRNA (in an area lying towards the 5' end but 3' to hairpin I) and the branchpoint sequence (BPS) of the intron results the bulging out of an unpaired adenosine, on the BPS, which initiates a nucleophilic attack at the intronic 5' splice site, thus starting the first of two transesterification reactions that mediate splicing. The record is from RNAcentral. Lineage: Eukaryota; Metazoa; Xenacoelomorpha; Acoela; Hofsteniidae.